CAUGCAUGUCUCAGUACAAACUUAAAUAAAGUGAAACCGCGAAAGGCUCAUUAAAUCAGUUAUGGUUCCUUAGAUUGUACCCACAUUUACUUGGAUAACUGUGGUAAUUCUAGAGCUAAUACAUGCUAAUUGAGCUCCAACCGGAGACGGAAGGAGUGCUUUUAUUAGAACAAGACUAAUCGCUGAUAUUAUAUAUUUUAUAUAUAAUAUUAAACGUAUAUAUUGAUGAAUCUGAAUAACUUAUUGCUGAUCGCACGGUCUAGCACCGGUGACGUAUCUUUCAAAUGUCUGACUUAUCAACUGUCGAUGGUAGGAUCUGCGCCUACCAUGGUAGUAACGGGUAACGGGGAAUCAGGGUUCGAUUCCGGAGAGGGAGCCUGAGAAACGGCUACCACAUCCAAGGAAGGCAGCAGGCGCGCAAAUUACCCACUCCCGGCACGGGGAGGUAGUGACGAAAAAUAACGGUACGGGACUCAUCCGAGGCCCCGUAAUCGGAAUGAGUACACUUUAAAUCUUUUAACGAGUAACAAUUGGAGGGCAAGUCUGGUGCCAGCAGCCGCGGUAAUUCCAGCUCCAAUAGCGUAUAUUAAAGUUGUUGCGGUUAAAAAGCUCGUAGUUGAAUUUGUGUCCCGCGCUGUCGAUUCACCGUACGCGGUGUCAAUCGGCAUGUUCGUGGGACGUCCUGCCGGUGGGCCGACUUACGAUCCUACCGCGGUGCUCUUCAUUGAGUGUCGAGGUGGGCCGGCACGUUUACUUUGAACAAAUUAGAGUGCUUAAAGCAGGCUUAUAAAUGCCUGAAUAUUCUGUGCAUGGAAUAAUGGAACAGGACCUCGGUUCUAUUUUGUUGGUUUUCGGAAUUCCGAGGUAAUGAUUAAUAGGGACAGAUGGGGGCAUUCGUAUUGCGACGUUAGAGGUGAAAUUCUUGGAUCGUCGCAAGACGGACAGAAGCGAAAGCAUUUGCCAAAAAUGUUUUCAUUAAUCAAGAACGAAAGUCAGAGGUUCGAAGGCGAUCAGAUACCGCCCUAGUUCUGACCAUAAACGAUGCCAGCUAGCGAUCCGCCGACGUUCCUCCGAUGACUCGGCGGGCAGCUUCCGGGAAACCAAAGCUUUUGGGUUCCGGGGGAAGUAUGGUUGCAAAGCUGAAACUUAAAGGAAUUGACGGAAGGGCACCACCAGGAGUGGGGCCUGCGGCUUAAUUUGACUCAACACGGGAAACCUCACCAGGCCCAGACACCGGAAGGAUUGACAGAUUGAGAGCUCUUUCUUGAUUCGGUGCGUGGUGGUGCAUGGCCGUUCUUAGUUGGUGGAGCGAUUUGUCUGGUUAAUUCCGUUAACGAACGAGACUCUAGCCUGCUAACUAGGCGUUAUUUACCGGCAUCUGGAAGGCUCAGGUUUUUACUGCCGGCGUACAACUUUAUCUUCUUAGAGGGACAGGCAGUUUUUAACUGCAUGAGACAGAGCAAUAACAGGUCUGUGAUGCCCUUAGAUGUUCUGGGCCGCACGCGCGCCACACUGAAGGAAUCAACGUGUUUUCCCAGGCCGAGUGGUCCGGGUAACCCGCUGAAUCUCCUUCGUGCUAGGGAUUGGGGCUUGCAAUUGUUCCCCAUGAACGAGGAAUUCCCAGUAAGCGCAAGUCAUAAGCUUGUGUUGAUUAAGUCCCUGCCCUUUGUCCACACCGCCCGUCGCUACUACCGAUUGAAUGAUUUAGUGAGGUCUUCGGACUGGUACGCGGUUUACAUUUUCAUAAUGUAACCGAUGUAGCUGGAAAGAUGACCAAACUUGAUUAUUU
This 1789-nucleotide ribosomal RNA is filed under the name Meru phyllisae. RNAcentral describes it as "SSU rRNA". It matches the Rfam family "Eukaryotic small subunit ribosomal RNA". Lineage: Eukaryota; Metazoa; Arthropoda; Insecta; Coleoptera; Meruidae. The record is from RNAcentral.